GGAGGGUGUAGUUCAGUGGUAGAGCGCGUGCUUAGCAUGCAUGAGGUCCUGGGUUCAAUCCCCAGUACCUCCA
Molecule: transfer RNA, 73 nt
Filed under: Vicugna pacos (alpaca)
Lineage: Eukaryota; Metazoa; Chordata; Mammalia; Artiodactyla; Camelidae
Description: tRNA-Ala (AGC) (tRNA-Ala-AGC-682-1)
Rfam family: tRNA
About the family: Transfer RNA (tRNA) molecules are approximately 80 nucleotides in length. Their secondary structure includes four short double-helical elements and three loops (D, anti-codon, and T loops). Further hydrogen bonds mediate the characteristic L-shaped molecular structure. tRNAs have two regions of fundamental functional importance: the anti-codon, which is responsible for specific mRNA codon recognition, and the 3' end, to which the tRNAs corresponding amino acid is attached (by aminoacyl-tRNA synthetases). tRNAs cope with the degeneracy of the genetic code in two manners: having more than one tRNA (with a specific anti-codon) for a particular amino acid; and 'wobble' base-pairing, i.e. permitting non-standard base-pairing at the 3rd anti-codon position.
Source: RNAcentral